This 305-nucleotide ribosomal RNA is filed under the name uncultured bacterium. RNAcentral's name for it is "partial 16S ribosomal RNA". It matches the Rfam family "Bacterial small subunit ribosomal RNA", at positions 508 to 807 of the family's 1533-position model. The record is from RNAcentral.
ACAGCAGUCGCCGCGGGAAUACGUAGGGUGCAAGCGUUAAUCGGAAUUACUGGGCGUAAAGCGUACGCAGGCGGUUAUAUAAGUCAGAUGUGAAAUCCCCGGGCUCAACCUGGGAACUGCAUUUGAGACUGUAUGGCUAGAGUGUGUCAGAGGGGGGUAGAAUUCCACGUGUAGCAGUGAAAUGCGUAGAUAUGUGGAGGAAUACCGGUGGCGAAGGCAGCCCCCUGGGAUAACACUGACGCUCAUGCACGAAAGCGUGGGGAGCAAACAGGAUUAGAUACCCGUGUAGUCCCUGUCUCUUAUAC